AAUCGUUUUAAUAGUUUAAUAAAAACCCUAAUCUUGUAAAUUAGAGAUGAGCAAUAGCUUUUAA
RNAcentral lists this transfer RNA (64 nucleotides) under Phloeosinus perlatus. RNAcentral's name for it is "tRNA-Thr". The record is from RNAcentral. Lineage: Eukaryota; Metazoa; Arthropoda; Insecta; Coleoptera; Curculionidae.